This 1161-nucleotide ribosomal RNA is filed under the name Triticum aestivum (bread wheat). RNAcentral describes it as "partial small subunit ribosomal RNA". The stretch from base 1 to 130 matches the Rfam family "U1 spliceosomal RNA", at positions 31 to 166 of the family's 166-position model. The record is from RNAcentral. Lineage: Eukaryota; Viridiplantae; Streptophyta; Magnoliopsida; Poales; Poaceae.
CAAGAAGGCCCGUGGCCUAGGUCAAUGGGCCACAUUGCACUUGGUGGGCGCGUUGGCCUAUCAUCUCCCCAAGUGGGAGAGUGAACGUCGUAAUUUGUGGUAGAGGGGGUACGCGUUCGCGCGGCCCCUGCCAAUUCUGUAAAAUUAAAAUUUGGUCCUCGAGGCCGGGCGCUUCGCAGUUUAUUCUUGAGAAAGUAGAAUUAAGGUGCGAAUUUCUUGAAGAGAAAGAAUUCUGCAGAAAUAUUUAGGUCUUGUUGGAUCUCAAUCCAAAAGCGUACACAGAGGGAGGAAGAUUUGAUUUGGGGGAGGAUUGAUGGCGCGAAGCGUGUCGUACGUAUCGGCGGCGAAACUGGUGUCCAUGGCGCGGGGGAACCGGGUGGCCGUCAUCGACGUCAGGGAUGAGGAGAGGAGCUAUCAGGCGCACAUCGCGGGGUCGCACCACUUCGCCAGCGGCAGCUUCGCGGCGCGGAUGCCGGAGCUCGUGCUGGCCACCAGCGGCAAGGACACCCUCGUCUUCCACUGCGCGCUCAGCCAGGUGCGAGGUCCGUCCUGUGCUCGGAUGUUUUCAGACUAUCUAUCAGAGUCCAAGGAAGAUUCGGGGAUAAAGAACAUCAUGGUGCUUGAACGUGGGUUCAAUGGAUGGGAGAUUUCUGGCCAACCCGUGUGCCACUGCAAAGAUGCUCCUUGCAAAGGCACAUGCUCUUGAUCCUCUGGGCUACCAUCUGGUCCAUUUCUAUUCAGCUUUUGAAUGAUCUGCGAUUCAGCAUCGCUGCUGAGCUGGUCCUUUCUCAUUGAGACGCUGAUGCAUAACAAUCCAUUGAAUUCCGCAAUGGCAUGUCUUGAAACAUUUCAUUUACAAAUACAUGACAUCUUUUUUCAGAUGAUAUAUGUAUACGGUAUAUCUAAACUGUUACAUGCAUACGUACCUUGCGUGAAAAAUCUCCUUAAAAUGUACCGGGAAGUCUGAAGAUGCUUGUACCGUUGAACUAGGCAUGUUAGUUUUUGAAGAAUGUUCAAGUUUUAUCCUCUUCAUUUCACAUGGAGCUAUGCAAUCCCAACAUGAUUUCAUAAUCACUUUUAUUUCUCUUUAUUGAAAAGUGUUCUAGGUUUUUCCUCGUUGGGAAUUGAAAUUUUAUAUUCUUUCAUAUCAAUUAUUGCCCC